CGCAGGGUGGAGCAGCUUGGUAGCUCGUCGGGCUCAUAACCCGAAGGUCGUCGGUUCAAAUCCGGCCCCCGCAACCA
This 77-nucleotide transfer RNA is filed under the name Vibrio parahaemolyticus. Its description in RNAcentral is "tRNA-Met". It matches the Rfam family "tRNA". From Rfam's summary of the family: Transfer RNA (tRNA) molecules are approximately 80 nucleotides in length. Their secondary structure includes four short double-helical elements and three loops (D, anti-codon, and T loops). Further hydrogen bonds mediate the characteristic L-shaped molecular structure. tRNAs have two regions of fundamental functional importance: the anti-codon, which is responsible for specific mRNA codon recognition, and the 3' end, to which the tRNAs corresponding amino acid is attached (by aminoacyl-tRNA synthetases). tRNAs cope with the degeneracy of the genetic code in two manners: having more than one tRNA (with a specific anti-codon) for a particular amino acid; and 'wobble' base-pairing, i.e. permitting non-standard base-pairing at the 3rd anti-codon position. Lineage: Bacteria; Pseudomonadati; Pseudomonadota; Gammaproteobacteria; Vibrionales; Vibrionaceae. The record is from RNAcentral.